RNAcentral lists this long non-coding RNA (740 nucleotides) under Elaeis guineensis (African oil palm). RNAcentral's name for it is "long non-coding RNA (EGUI_LNC020774)". Lineage: Eukaryota; Viridiplantae; Streptophyta; Magnoliopsida; Arecales; Arecaceae. The record is from RNAcentral.
CUCCCAUGAUUUUUUCUUGACCGAUCAAACUUUUGAUCCAGAAAUGACAAAUAAUUUGGCAUAAACGCAUUGGUUGAUAGAACAUGAUUGAUCCAAUGGCCACUCGAAAGAAACUUCAAGAGCGAACAUAUGGUUUAGAAUAUUCACGACCUCGAAGAGGUGUGCAUGGGUUCCAGUUCCGGUCCUGCCUAUGUGGGUGAAUCACUGCAUGGGUAAAUGAUUGGCAAGACUAACAAAACCUGGGUCACAUAAUGCAGAGAAUCCGUGGGUUCAAACCCAGAUGGUGGCAUUGCUGCAUUUCUUCAGAGAAUCUGUGGGUUCAAACCCAGAUGGUGGCAUUACUGCAUUUCUCCGUAAUAUAAAUGAAAGGCAAUACCAAUCUAUACAGCCUAUAAAUCACUCAUGACUAUGUGAAGGUGAAAUGGGCCUUAACUACUUUGAAGCCCGAUAACCUAGCCCCUACUUCAUGGUUGGACUUGAGCUUACACUUUUGGUUUGAGAAAUUCUUUGUGCACAGCAGACGGUGUAAAAAAUUCGACAUAAAAUACAUCAUCUUAUCCGAUUGAUCUAUGUAAUCAUCAUUUUUCAACGCAUAUUUAAUACCUGCAGGUCGGCUUUUUCGUUUAAAAAUUUUAUAUGACAAAAAUAUUUUUGUCCUUUAGAAAAAAUUAUAACAUUCUAUAACAUAUCAUGACCCAGGAUGCCAUAAUAUGGCUCAAAAUAUCAUAAUAUGGAAGAGA